Molecule: ribosomal RNA, 556 nt
Filed under: uncultured bacterium
Lineage: Bacteria
Description: partial 16S ribosomal RNA
Rfam family: Bacterial small subunit ribosomal RNA
Source: RNAcentral
UGGGGAAUUUUGGACAAUGGGGGAAACCCUGAUCCAGCCAUCCCGCGUGUGCGAUGAAGGCCUUCGGGUUGUAAAGCACUUUUGGCAGGAAAGAAACGUCGCGGGUUAAUACCCCGCGAAACUGACGGUACCUGCAGAAUAAGCACCGGCUAACUACGUGCCAGCAGCCGCGGUAAUACGUAGGGUGCAAGCGUUAAUCGGAAUUACUGGGCGUAAAGCGUGCGCAGGCGGUUCGGAAAGAAAGAUGUGAAAUCCCAGAGCUUAACUUUGGAACUGCAUUUUUUAACUACCGGGCUAGAGUGUGUCAGAGGGAGGUGGAAUUCCGCGUGUAGCAGUGAAAUGCGUAGAUAUGCGGAGGAACACCGAUGGCGAAGGCAGCCUCCUGGGGAUAACACUGACGCUCAUGCACGAAAGCGUGGGGAGCAAACAGGAUUAGAUACCCUGGUAGUCCACGCCCUAAACGAUGUCAACUAGCUGUUGGGGCCUUCGGGCCUUGGUAGCGCAGCUAACGCGUGAAGUUGACCGCCUGGGGAGUACGGUCGCAAGAUUAAAACUC